Molecule: RNase P RNA, 413 nt
Filed under: Streptomyces alboniger
Lineage: Bacteria; Bacillati; Actinomycetota; Actinomycetes; Kitasatosporales; Streptomycetaceae
Description: Bacterial RNase P class A
Rfam family: Bacterial RNase P class A
About the family: Ribonuclease P (RNase P) is a ubiquitous endoribonuclease, found in archaea, bacteria and eukarya as well as chloroplasts and mitochondria.
Source: Rfam by way of RNAcentral
CGAGCGCAGCGGGCGGCCGCGUGAAGAUCCCCUCGGGGGCCUUCCCGAGGAACGUCCGGGCUCCACAGGGCAGGGUGGUGGCUAACGGCCACCCGGGGUGACCCGCGGGACAGUGCCACAGAAAACAGACCGCCCGGCGCUUCGGUGCCGGGUAAGGGUGAAACGGUGGUGUAAGAGACCACCAGCGCCUGAGGUGACUCAGGCGGCUAGGUAAACCCCACCCGGAGCAAGGUCAAAAGGAGAGGUCGCACGCAAGUGCGGCGUCUCUGCGCGGACGAUCGAGGGCUGCCCGCCCGAGUCCGCGGGUAGACCGCACGAGGCCGGCAGCAAUGCCGGCCCUAGAUGGAUGGCCGUCACCCCGACGACCGCGAGGUCCCGGGGAACAGAACCCGGCGUACAGCUGGGCUCGUCUG